Molecule: non-coding RNA, 264 nt
Filed under: Clostridium sp.
Lineage: Bacteria; Bacillati; Bacillota; Clostridia; Eubacteriales; Clostridiaceae
Description: T-box sequence
Rfam family: T-box leader
About the family: Uncharged tRNA acts as the effector for transcription antitermination of genes in the T-box leader family.
Source: RNAcentral
UCAAAUGCAAUGACAAGGAGGAGUACAUACAGGACCGGCUCCCAGAGAGAAGAUGGUGGUGAGAAUCUUCAGCUAGGAUGUAUGGAAGUAGCCUUCGAGCAGUGGACUGAAAAGCAUGACUUCGUAAGAAGUGCUGAGUAGGAUUCAACGGAUUUCCCCGUUACAGGAAUACAAUAUAACGCAGAUAAGAUUUGUAAGUAUUGGAUGAGAGCAGGAAGAACCUGAAUUUAGGUGGUACCACGGAUAUGAUUAUUCGCCCUAAGC